This 558-nucleotide ribosomal RNA is filed under the name Kumanoa intorta. RNAcentral describes it as "SSU rRNA". It matches the Rfam family "Eukaryotic small subunit ribosomal RNA", at positions 5 to 565 of the family's 1831-position model. The record is from RNAcentral. RNAcentral also lists the same sequence under 1 other name. Lineage: Eukaryota; Rhodophyta; Florideophyceae; Batrachospermales; Batrachospermaceae.
UGGUUGAUCCUGCCAGUAGUCAUAUGCUUGUCUCAAAGAUUAAGCCAUGCAAGUCUAAGUAUAAGCACUUAUACUGUUAAACUGCGGAAAGCUCAUUAUAUCAGUUAUAGUUUAUUUGAUGGUAAACCCACUACAUGGAUAACCGUAGUAAUUCUAGAGCUAAUACAUGCCUUGAAGCGGUAACUUCGGAAGCCGUGGACUUAUUAGAUCAAGAGCUGACCCUUUUCGGAGGAACAAGCUGAAUCAUAGUAAUUUCGCUAAUCGCAGUGGUUUUGUGCCGGCGAUGGGUCAUUCAAAUUUCUGCCCUAUCAGCUGUGAUGUUAGUGUAGUGGACUAACAUGGCAUAAACGGGUGACGGAGGAUUAGGGUCUGAUUCCGGAGAGGGAGCCUGAGAAAUGGCUACCACUUCCAAGGAAGGCAGCAGGCGCGUAAAUUACCCAAUCCCGAUACGGGGAGGUAGUGACAAGAAAUAGCAAUACCGGAUCUUUUAAGAUCUGGUAAUUGGAAUGAGUACAAUCUAAAAUCCUUAACUAGGACCCAUUGGAGGGCAAGUCUGGU